Molecule: long non-coding RNA, 2625 nt
Organism: Protopterus annectens (West African lungfish)
Lineage: Eukaryota; Metazoa; Chordata; Ceratodontiformes; Protopteridae
Exons: 2
Source: RefSeq, a predicted model, not a curated record
AGCCAUAGUAGAAUUUCACACCUACUGCCACCUGAUGAGAUCCUGCCUGGACAGCCUACACCUGAGUUCACCUUGACAGAACAUGGGUCCCAUAGACAUUUGCCUAUAAAAUGCAGAGGAUGAGCAGAUAACAGGCCACUGCCAGAGUCCUCAAAUAAUAAUGAUGAUAAUGAUAGUGACGAUAAUGAAGCUGGACCUGCACCUGCCCAAGCCAUCAUUCCUGCUGUGCUCAGAAGGAGAUGACACCAGGACUGGAACAGAGAUUAUCAGGAGGAUAUCUGGGCGGUUGUAACUGAUGUGUUUCAAACACAGGUGAGGGACUUGAUGGGAUAUGGCACCGGCUAUGCAUGACUCAUUUAGGGAGAUCACAUGUGAGGUCAUUUCUGAGGAUCAUCCCAAUUAGCCUGGUCCAUCCAGUCCAUAAGUAUUGUUUGUGUGCUCCAGUUGUGUUUUGCUAUCAACAUACUGAUUGCCAUAUAAUUGAUUGAACUGUGUAUGCACUCUUGUGCAUCCAUACCACAUACCCGACAUGUUAUCUUCAUGUGACAUUUAAUUAUGUUUCAAUGUGUGCAUGACACACAUUAACAAACUGCACUUUCCUCCAACAUUCAGCUGCCCAUGCAUUGUGGCAGUUAACCUGCAGCUAGUGCUGCAACAAUUAUCCUGUAAACAUGUGUUUUACUUAGGGUGACUGACAGAUAAUAGAUGUUGUCCAUAGUCCAGCACUACCACUGUGGUAUGGUUAAGAUUUGUGUAUUGCUAUAUCAUGUAUGUUCAACAGAAGGACAUGUCAUUUCCCAUGCAUUUUGGAUGACUGUUGUCAUGCUGUCCCAAUGACAUGGUAUGGUGUUCUGUACCAUAUAUUGCAAUGUUGAUGCCAUGUGGGGUCAUAUGCAGGUAUUUCAUAGCUAUGGGCAGUUCUACUUUUCUUACUGCAUGUAGCAAAUGUAGCAUUAAUGUAUAUACAGUGUUAGAUAAUUUAUUCUGUAACAGUGCAUCAUGCCAUGUUUGCUGCAUCUUACAUUUCUACAUCCAUUAUUUAUUCACAUAAGUACCUUCAAGAAAUAGUUUAAACAUUAACUGAUUGUACAUCUCUGCACAUAGUCAGAUGCAUAGUGAUGCACAAUUAUACUUUUGACAUGUGAUCAUUCACUGACUUACCCCUGAUGUGCUGUAAUGACGCUCACAGGAGUGUCCUCUUCUCAGUAAUGUGCAAGGUGCAUGAUACACACCUGCAUAUGUUUAGUCAAAAUUUGAAUGAUAGUAUGUGUAUGUGCUUGAAUUUCUUAGCUUGAUUACCUACACAUGGUGAUAUUACAUGAUUGCAUAUUACUGUGUAUGUGUGACUUAUAAAAGGCCAUUUCUGUGGUCAUCAGAAAUCAUUCUGCCCAUGUGAUGUACAUUUUCCAUUUGCUUAAAUGUAUUUUGAGUUUGCUUCUACAGCACCCUGUGUGCUGCUGACAUUUGCAGUGUGUCAAGUUUCCUUGUCCUGCUUUUCGCAGAUGAGGGCCUAGGUUGUUUACCUCCCUUCCACCUUCAUAUUUUUGUAUUAUAUUUUUGCAGAUAUGUUUACCUUUGUUGCAGUUAUUGACCAUUGCCAUGUAUUAUGUUGUUGGCAUGGUGAAUAUGCGUUAAAUGUAUGGGCAUUUUAUAGAUGCAGGACAUAUGCACACAAGUCACUGGCUGCUGCUUGCAAUACAUUGUUCUCAUUAUAUUCAUGUGUUAACCAGUGUACAUUGUUGAAAUCCAUGUGCACAACCUGAUAUAUUUUUUAAGCUGUUGUGUUAUAUUUUUGUAAAUAUUCUUACAAUACACAUGGAUGUGUGUAUGAUCAUUGACCUUGCUUUUAUGUACAUUCCAUUUAGGCUACUGACAUUCAUACAUAUACUCCUAUACCUGUGUUGCCUUUGACAUGGCAUAUGUAUGUGACAUACAUACAUUCCAUUACACAUUUGUUUGGGUUGUGUACACUUGCUUAUAUAUUUAGCAGCCAUUUUGCUGCUUUGCUGCAGUAUUGCCAUUGGUACUGUGCUUGGUUGUUUGACUUUUACAUGCAUGGUCAGAGGUUUGGUUUUGUCUUCUGCUAGAGUUAUGUAGCAUUGUUAGACCUGCAUUUGUCAUCUGUGAUGUUGCUUGACUUGCAUUGCUGACAAACUACUUGGAUAUGUGUUUAUUUAUCUAAUUUGUACCGUUUUCCUUAUUUAUUACCCUACAACACACAUCUUCCAAAGGUCAUACACAUCUGGGUACAACUGUCACACAGUUUGCAAUAUGCCAUAACAUGUAGAUAUAUUUUUCUGAAUUUUACCAUGGUUUGUAUUCAUCCCCACCCUGUUUGACAACUUUUCAUUGCCUGUGUUUUACAGUGCGCCAUCUGUGAAACUUACCUGUCCUUACUGUUUUUUCCAAUCUUUGUCUGUCAUGUGUUGUGAUAUUUGUUCUAUGAAUAUACCUGCUUUGAUGUCCUUCUCCUCUUUCCUUAUCUUUACCUUUCCUUCUAUUCUUACAAAACAUGGGGCCUAUUCCUACCAAAAAAAACCAAAAUUAUCCAUGCAGCUCUGACUUCCCCUUAGAUUUUCCUAUUCAGACAUCCUUCUUGUGUGUCCCUCUUCUUCACCCAUACCC